CCUUGCCAGCCCGCUCAGAAACUUAAAUGAAGUUGACGGGGCCCGCACAAGCGGAGGAGCAUGUGGUUAAUUCGAUGAUACGCGAGGAACCUUACCUGGGCUCGAACGUAAGAUGACUGUAGGUGAAAGCUUACAUCUCUUCGGAGCAUUUUACGAGGUGCUGCAUGGUUGUCGUCAGCUCGUGCCGUGAGGUGUCGGGUUAAGUCCCAUAACGAGCGCAACCCCUACCUUUAGUUGCCAUCAGGUAAUGCUGGGGACUCUAAAGGAACUGCCUACGCAAGUAGUGAGGAAGCGGGGAUGACGUCAAAUCAGCACGGCCCUUACGUCCAGGGCUACACACGUGCUACAAUGGCCGAUACAGAGGGUAGCUACCUGGUGACAGGAUGCAAAUCUCCAAAGUCGGUCUCAGUUCGGAUCGGAGUCUGCAACCCGACUCCGUGAAGUUGGAUUCGCUAGUAAUCGCGCAUCAGCCAUGGCGCGGUGAAUACGUUCCCGGGCCUU
RNAcentral lists this ribosomal RNA (501 nucleotides) under uncultured Sphingobacteriales bacterium. RNAcentral describes it as "bacterial SSU rRNA". It matches the Rfam family "Bacterial small subunit ribosomal RNA", at positions 903 to 1382 of the family's 1533-position model. The record is from RNAcentral. Lineage: Bacteria; Pseudomonadati; Bacteroidota; Sphingobacteriia; Sphingobacteriales.